UCCUGGCUCAGAUUGAACGCUAGCGGGAUGCUUUACACAUGCAAGUCGAACGGCAGCACGAGAGAGCUUGCUCUCUUGGUGGCGAGUGGCGGACGGGUGAGUAAUAUAUCGGAACGUGCCUAGUAGCGGGGGAUAACUACUCGAAAGAGUGGCUAAUACCGCAUACGCCCUACGGGGGAAAGGGGGGGAUCGCAAGACCUCUCACUAUUAGAGCGGCCGAUAUCGGAUUAGCUAGUUGGUGGGGUAAAGGCUCACCAAGGCAACGAUCCGUAGCUGGUUUGAGAGGACGACCAGCCACACUGGGACUGAGACACGGCCCAGACUCCUACGGGAGGCAGCAGUGGGGAAUUUUGGACAAUGGGGGAAACCCUGAUCCAGCCAUCCCGCGUGUAUGAUGAAGGCCUUCGGGUUGUAAAGUACUUUUGGCAGAGAAGAAAAGGUACCUCCUAAUACGAGGUACUGCUGACGGUAUCUGCAGAAUAAGCACCGGCUAACUACGUGCCGGCAGCCGCGGUAAUACGUAGGGUGCAAGCGUUAAUCGGAAUUACUGGGCGUAAAGCGUGUGUAGGCGGUUCGGAAAGAAAGAUGUGAAAUCCCAGGGCUUAACCUUGGAACUGCAUUUUUAACUGCCGAGCUAGAGUAUGUCAGAGGGGGGUAGAAUUCCACGUGUAGCAGUGAAAUGCGUAGAUAUGUGGAGGUAUACCGAUGGCGAAGGCAGCCCCCUGGGAUAAUACUGACGCUCAGACACGAAAGCGUGGGGAGCAAACAGGAUUAGAUACCCUGGUAGUCCACGCCCUAAACGAUGUCAACUAGCUGUUGGGGCCGUUAGGCCUUAGUAGCGCAGCUAACGCGUGAAGUUGACCGCCUGGGGAGUACGGUCGCAAGAUUAAAAUUCAAAGGAAUUGACGGGGACCCGCACAAGCGGUGGAUGAUGUGGAUUAAUUCGAUGCAACGCGAAAAACCUUACCUACCCUUGACAUGUCUGGAAUCCCGAAGAGAUUUGGGAGUGCUCGCAAGAGAACCGGAACACAGGUGCUGCAUGGCUGUCGUCAGCUCGUGUCGUGAGAUGUUGGGUUAAGUCCCGCAACGAGCGCAACCCUUGUCAUUAGUUGCUACGCAAGAGCACUCUAAUGAGACUGCCGGUGACAAACCGGAGGAAGGUGGGGAUGACGUCAAGUCCUCAUGGCCCUUAUGGGUAGGGCUUCACACGUCAUACAAUGGUCGGGACAGAGGGUCGCCAACCCGCGAGGGGGAGCCAAUCUCAGAAACCCGAUCGUAGUCCGGAUCGCAGGCUGCAACUCGACUGCGUGAAGUCGGAAUCGCUAGUAAUCGCGGAUCAGAAUGUCGCGGUGAAUACGUUCCCGGGUCUUGUACACACCGCCCGUCACACCAUGGGAGUGGGUUUCACCAGAAGUAGGUAGCCUAACCGUAAGGAGGGCGCUUACCACGGUGGGAUUCAUGACUGGGGUGAAGUCGUAACAAGGUAGCC
RNAcentral lists this ribosomal RNA (1489 nucleotides) under uncultured bacterium. Its description in RNAcentral is "bacterial SSU rRNA". It matches the Rfam family "Bacterial small subunit ribosomal RNA". The record is from RNAcentral.